Molecule: unclassified non-coding RNA, 431 nt
Filed under: Lopholaena coriifolia
Lineage: Eukaryota; Viridiplantae; Streptophyta; Magnoliopsida; Asterales; Asteraceae
Description: partial contains external transcribed spacer and 18S ribosomal RNA
Rfam family: Eukaryotic small subunit ribosomal RNA (bases 368-431)
Source: RNAcentral
CAACUUCCACCUGGCAUACCUCUUCAGUUUUGCGUCAAGGCUUGUAUCGUCUUGAGCGUAUUGUGGGUUUCUGUAUUGCAUACCUAGUUGAUGGUAUCGUUUUGGUUGAUCGAAGUCCCUUUUCAUCUUGUGUUGCAUUUGUUACGCAGGAUGAACCUCAAAGUAGUCUUUAUGAUCCAUCAUGUUGAUGUACAUGUAUUGAUGUUGUGGGUCAUUGAGCGUUGCUUGGUAUCCUAGAUACGGAACAUGAUGUAGGCAUGGGGUCUUUUAUGGAUCUUGUUUUGUCCUCGUUCAGCGUUCUUUAAAACGACAGUUCAUGCGCGCCUAGGCUCGUACCUGCGUGAUGUUCUUUGUCGAAAAGGAAUGCUACCUGGUUGAUCCUGCCAGUAGUCAUAUGCUUGUCUCAAAGAUUAAGCCAUGCAUGUGUAAGU